This is a non-coding RNA of Seminavis robusta, 86 nucleotides long. The record is from the annotation of a GenBank genome assembly. Lineage: Eukaryota; Bacillariophyta; Bacillariophyceae; Naviculales; Naviculaceae.
GGUAACUCGGCCGAGUGGUUUUUAAAGGCGGGAGAUUCGAAAUCUAUUGGAGUUUCUCCGCGUAGGUUCAAGUCCUGCUGUUGUCG